UACGUAGGUGGCAAGCGUUGUCCGGAUUUACUGGGUUUAAAGGGUGCGUAGGUGGGUAGGUAAGUCAGCGGUGAAAUCCCCGAGCUUAACUUGGGAACUGCCAUUGAUACUAUCUGUCUUGAAUACCUUGGAGGUGAGCGGAAUAUGUCAUGUAGCGGUGAAAUGCUUAGAUAUGACAUAGAACACCAAUUGCGAAGGCAGCUCACUACACGGUCAUUGACACUGAGGCACGAAAGCGUGGGGAUCAAACAGG
This 253-nucleotide ribosomal RNA is filed under the name uncultured bacterium. Its description in RNAcentral is "partial 16S ribosomal RNA". It matches the Rfam family "Bacterial small subunit ribosomal RNA", at positions 524 to 776 of the family's 1533-position model. The record is from RNAcentral.